RNAcentral lists this ribosomal RNA (301 nucleotides) under uncultured bacterium. RNAcentral's name for it is "partial 16S ribosomal RNA". It matches the Rfam family "Bacterial small subunit ribosomal RNA", at positions 509 to 807 of the family's 1533-position model. The record is from RNAcentral.
CAGUCGCCGCGGUAAUACGUAGGGUGCGAGCGUUAAUCGGAAUUACUGGGCGUAAAGCGUGCGCAGGCGGUUUUGUAAGACAGGCGUGAAAUCCCCGGGCUCAACCUGGGAAUGGCGCUUGUGACUGCAAAGCUAGAGUGCGGCAGAGGGGGAUGGAAUUCCGCGUGUAGCAGUGAAAUGCGUAGAUAUGCGGAGGAACACCGAUGGCGAAGGCAAUCCCCUGGGCCUGCACUGAUGCUCAUGCACGAAAGCGUGGGGAGCAAACAGGAUUAGAUACCCCCGUAGUCCCUGUCUCUUAUAC